AUUGAACGCUGGCGGCAUGCCUUACACAUGCAAGUCGAACGGCAGCACGGGUGCUUGCACCUGGUGGCGAGUGGCGAACGGGUGAGUAAUACAUCGGAACGUACCUUAUCGUGGGGGAUAACGCAGCGAAAGCUGUGCUAAUACCGCAUACGCCCUGAGGGGGAAAGCGGGGGAUCGAAAGACCUCGCGCGAUUAGAGCGGCCGAUGCCUGAUUAGCUUGUUGGUGGGGUAAAAGCCCACCAAGGCGACGAUCAGUAGCUGGUCUGAGAGGACGAUAAGCCACACUGGGAAUGAGAGACGGCCCAGACUCCGACGGGAGGCAGCAGUGGGGAAUUUUGGACAAUGGGGGCAACCCUGAUCCAGCAAUGCCGCGUGAGUGAAGAAGGCCUUCGGGUUGUAAAGCUCUUUUGUCAGGGAAGAAACACCGGCUCUAACACAGUCCGGGAAUGACGGUACCUGAAGAAUAAGCACCGGCUAACUACGUGCCAGCCGCCGCCGUAA
Molecule: ribosomal RNA, 501 nt
Filed under: uncultured bacterium
Lineage: Bacteria
Description: partial 16S ribosomal RNA
Rfam family: Bacterial small subunit ribosomal RNA
Source: RNAcentral